RNAcentral lists this ribosomal RNA (470 nucleotides) under uncultured bacterium. Its description in RNAcentral is "bacterial SSU rRNA". It matches the Rfam family "Bacterial small subunit ribosomal RNA", at positions 28 to 507 of the family's 1533-position model. The record is from RNAcentral.
GACGAACGCUGGCGGCGUGCCUAACACAUGCAAGUCGAACGGAGAUAGGUUGAAAGCUUGCUGGAUACUUAUCUUAGUGGCGGACGGGCGAGUAACGCGUGAGCAACCUGCCCCAGACUGGGGGAUAACGUCGGGAAACCGGCGCUAAUACCGCAUAACACUGCGAAGCCGCAUGGUUUUGCAGUCAAAGCUCCGGCGGUUUGGGAUGGGCUCGCGUCCAAUUAGCUAGUUGGUGAGGUAACGGCCCACCAAGGCGACGAUUGGUAGCCGAACUGAGAGGUUGAUCGGCCGCAUUGGGACUGAGACACGGCCCAGACUCCUACGGGAGGCAGCAGUGGGGAAUAUUGCGCAAUGGGGGAAACCCUGACGCAGCAACGCCGCGUGAAGGAAGAAGGCCUUCGGGUUGUAAACUUCUUUGAUCGGGGACGAAGAUGACGGUACCCGAGGAACAAGCCACGGCUAACUACGUG